CAAUCAUCUAAAUGCAUGGCACAGUUGGAAAAAUGGACAGAGAAUAAGGAUAUACUUCUUGGAAACUUUUGACCAGGAAAUAUUUGAAGGUUGAUGUGAGUUCCAGCAGGCUUCCUGGCUACAGAACAGCAUUACCCCAAUGCUUGAAUUUUAACAUUGCUCAUUGCUUAGUUACACUCAAAAGCAGAUAAACAAGAAAUUG
Long non-coding RNA from Bos indicus x Bos taurus (hybrid cattle), 202 nucleotides. NCBI's taxonomy places the organism in Eukaryota, Metazoa, Chordata, Mammalia, Artiodactyla, Bovidae. The record is from Ensembl.